Molecule: ribosomal RNA, 230 nt
Filed under: uncultured bacterium
Lineage: Bacteria
Description: partial 16S ribosomal RNA
Rfam family: Bacterial small subunit ribosomal RNA
Source: RNAcentral
CGGGGUGAGUAAUGUCUGGGAAACUAGCCUGAUGGAGGGGGAUAACUACUGGAAACGGUAGCUAAUACCGCAUAACGUCGCAAGACCAAAGAGGGGGACCUUCGGGCCUCUUGCCAUCGGAUGUGCCCAGAUGGGAUUAGCUAGUAGGUGGGGUAACGGCUCACCUAGGCGACGAUCCCUAGCUGGUCUGAGAGGAUGGCCAGCCACACUGGAACUGAGACACAGUCCAG